GCGCGCGGUAGAGCGAGAAGGGCGGCAACUCGAAAGGUGUCUCGAAACGCUGCGAGAGGACGACCUGAAAUAUGUCGCCCGCGGCGAUAUAUUCCUUCGCGCGUUCGACCAUGCCGUAAUAGGUGUCGCGCGGCGUAUUGGAGCGCGGCUCUUCAAGCGCGGCGAUGUUUGCUUCGCGGUGCCCAUGCGGCAGGGCGCGGUCGAAAUCCGCAAUCACAUCCGACAGGCGUUCGCUGGCACGCGCAUAGGCCGCGCGGGCGCUGACGCCGGGCUCGGGACGCACGGGCGUGACGAGCGUUACCUCGUCCUUCACGGAAUCGAAGACGGCAAUGAUGGUAGGCCGGAGAAAGAUGCCGUCGGGCAGGCCGAGCGCAUCCGGGUUCUGGUCCGGCAGGUGCUCCAUGAGGCGCACCGUGUCAUAGCUCAUAUAGCCGAAGACACCGGCUGCCAUAGGCGGCAGUUCUUCCGGCAGCUCGAUGCGGCUUUCCUCGAUGAAGGCACGGAGGCUUUUCAGCGCACCACCGGCACAGGGCUCGAAAGCGCCAUCGUCGAAACGCGCCUUGCGAUUGAUCUCCGCCGCAUCGCCCAUCGUGCGCCAGAUGGCGUCCGGCUUGAGGCCGAUGAUCGAAUAACGAUUGCGGUUGUCGCUGCCCUCGACGGAUUCGAGAAGAAAGCUGUUCGGCUUGCCUUCCGCGAUCUUGAGCAUGGCAGAGACAGGCGUGUCGAGGUCGGCAACGAGACGCGUAUAGACGACCUGCGCCGUGUCGGCGUUGUAGGCGGCCUCGAAGGACUCGGCUCCGGCAGGAUCAACCGGAAAGACCUGCUCUGCAGGCUCCCCCCAUAGAUCUCCUCGCUCAGAGUCGCCCGAUAGUGAUCGUAUACGGUACCG
RNAcentral lists this ribosomal RNA (889 nucleotides) under uncultured Parvibaculum sp. RNAcentral describes it as "partial 16S ribosomal RNA". The record is from RNAcentral. Lineage: Bacteria; Pseudomonadati; Pseudomonadota; Alphaproteobacteria; Hyphomicrobiales; Parvibaculaceae.